This 479-nucleotide ribosomal RNA is filed under the name uncultured bacterium. RNAcentral's name for it is "partial 16S ribosomal RNA". It matches the Rfam family "Bacterial small subunit ribosomal RNA", at positions 28 to 507 of the family's 1533-position model. The record is from RNAcentral.
GAUGAACGCUGGCGGCGUGCUUAACACAUGCAAGUCGAACGAAGCACCUUGAUUCGAUUCUUCGGAUGAAGAUCUUGGUGACUGAGUGGCAGACGGGUGAGUAACGCGUGGGUAACCUGCCUCAUACAGGGGGAUAACAGUUAGAAAUGACUGCUAAUACCGCAUACGACCACCGCACCUCAUGGUGCAGGGUUAAAAACUCCGGUGGUAUGAGAUGGACGCGCGUCUGAGUAGGUAGUUGGUAGGGUAACGGCCUAGCAAAGAGAGGAUCAGUAGCCGAGCGGGUAGCCUGACCGGACACAAUGGGGCUACGACACGGACUACAAUCCUACGCAAGGCAGGAGAGGGGUAUAUUGAAGGAUGGGGGAAGACCUGAUGGAGCGACGCGGGGUGAGAGAUGAUGUAUGUCGGGAAGUAAUGCUCUAUGAGAAGGGAAGAAAAUGACGGUACCUGACUAAGAAGCACCGGCUAACUACGUG